CCUACGGGAGGCAGCAGUGGGGAAUCUUGCGCAAUGGACGAAAGCCUGACGCAGCCAUGCCGCGUGGAUGAUGAAGGUCUUAGGAUUGUAAAAUCCUUUCACCGGUGAAGAUAAUGACUGUAGCCGGAGAAGAAGCCCCGGCUAACUUCGUGCCAGCAGCCGCGGUAAUACGAAGGGGGCUAGCGUUGCUCGGAAUUACUGGGCGUAAAGGGAGCGUAGGCGGACAUUUAAGUCAGAGGUGAAAUCCCGGAGCUUAACUUCGGAACUGCCUUUGAUACUGGGUGUCUUGAGUGUGAGAGAGGUAUGUGGAACUCCGAGUGUAGAGGUGAAAUUCGUAGAUAUUCGGAAGAACACCAGUGGCGAAGGCGACAUACUGGCUCAUUACUGACGCUGAGGCUCGAAAGCGUGGGGAGCAAACAGGAUUAGAUACCCUGGUAGUCCACGCCGUAAACGAUGAUUGCUAGUUGUCGGGAAGCUUGCUUCUCGGUGACGCAGCUACGCAUUAAGACAAUCCGCCGUCGGGAGGUACGGUCGCGAAGAAUUAAACUACAAUAGAAGUAGACGGCGUGAGACGUGCCGACGGACGACGACGAGGGAGGUUAGG
This 604-nucleotide ribosomal RNA is filed under the name uncultured bacterium. RNAcentral describes it as "bacterial SSU rRNA". The stretch from base 1 to 517 matches the Rfam family "Bacterial small subunit ribosomal RNA", at positions 338 to 873 of the family's 1533-position model. The record is from RNAcentral.